Molecule: long non-coding RNA, 410 nt
Filed under: Sorghum bicolor (sorghum)
Lineage: Eukaryota; Viridiplantae; Streptophyta; Magnoliopsida; Poales; Poaceae
Description: long non-coding RNA (SBIC_LNC005356)
Source: RNAcentral
CCAAUGCUAACUACAGAUCAUUCAAGAACAACAUAUGAAUGAUGAAUAGGAGAAAAGCUGCUCUACAAAAGUUUUAUAAGAACAAAAAAGUUAUGACUGUGCUAUGUACAACUGCUCCUUGAACAAUAAACUACCUGUCACAAAAAAAUACUUAUAAAUAAUUAGAACACAAACAAGAUAUUACACAAAUAUUUCAAACUGCACUUCAUACAUAUGGAAUUGUCAAAUCUUCCCUCCCAGUCCGGAUCUCUCUCAGAUAAGAGAAACAAAUUUCCAAAAUGAAAAUAACACGUCUGACCCUGGGUUUACUCAGAAAUUGUUAGGUAUACUUCAAUUUCUAGAAACAUAAAUUAUUUUUAUCUGUAUCUCUAAUUGAUUGUGUGUUAAUGCUGUAUGCCACUGCCACUGGC